CAAUUCUGACCCUUAACUGGCGGAAAGUCGACAGCUACUAUGGCUAUCUUAAUGUAGGCGCAGGAAUCUUAGUCCUCCAAGCAUAGGCCUUCUAUUAGCGCUGUUGAGUCUCCAAGUGGUCUUUCUAUAAAGCGGAAGGACAAGUGUGUCCAAGACUUGGUUGUGAUCCCAGGUACCAAUGCCUUUAACCCUUUUCCUUACCCUUAUAGGGUUAAGACUUAUAACCAGCUGUCUAACAAUUCUGAAGCCAGCCUGUCUAUUGGCCAGAUCUAUGCUAACCUCUCACCAAAUAAUGCAUGUGCAUAUGCCCUUUAAACGCUGAAUGCAUAGCAACUGGCCAAGAAUAUGCUUAGGGUCGUCUCUACUGAGCAGCGAGAAUCCGUUAAGGGAGUCGGAACCCUAAACUUCGACGCCAUACUGCUACUCCUGGCUGAGUUAACCUUCUUUAAAGUUAGAAUAUUUUAUCAAGUCUUUGCUUAACCGACUGCAUAUUAAAAGUCUUAUAUUUUGGCCGAAUGUAGGCCAUGCUGAGAAUGAAUGGGCUUGAAAAGCCAUUCAACGAUAAAUAGAAAGAGGUAAGGGAUACCAACCAAAGGGUUGCUUCCAAUCUUAACCAGGCGAUGUUUGAUGUAAAUAAAACUGAGGCACAAACUCAAGAUAUCCAGUACUCGCAUGCGACUGCAAAUUUGCAAGUAAAAAAUGAUUUGGAGGUGGCCUAGAAGAGGGUAACUAAGAUCAAGGAGCAGCUGAAGAUGGCCAAGAUUGAGCUUAAGGAGGAGCUGAAGACAGCCAGGAUUGAUCUUGGCAAGCUGCAAGACGUUAGCAAGGACACAAUCAGUCUCCGCCGCUAGAACGAGAAUUUUAAAAAAUGGCUUGUCAACAAGGAGGAGCAGCUCAGGUCCAAGUUUGCUGCCCGUGCUGAAGAAUAGAAGCGGCUACUCAUCGAAGAGAAUGAAACCGACUGCAUGCAUCACCCGAAUGAAGAUGGCGUGGAAGGCUCUAUUUCCCAAGGACGAUUACUUCAUCUGGGAGUAUCACUUUGAGGAAGCCACUGAUUCCCUGGAUGAGGAGCGGCAGUAGGCGGAGCAAGAGGCUGAGGGCGAAAGAAUGGAGGUCUUGGAUGACGAUGAAGGGAAUAAGGACAACUAGCUCAACGAGAAUCAUCCAGCCAAUGAAGGAGAAAUGGCGGAGAAUGAAGUGGAGUCCUCCCCCAAAGCUGAUUAGUUUAAGUUUCUACGGCCAAAUGGCCUUUCAAAUACAUUUUUGGCCUGCGUGCCGAGUAUCAUUGUUCUUUCACUUGUAGAAAAUAACAAAUUAGCACCGAGUAAUGCCCACCGGUUUUUGAAAAAAAAAUGGGCGGGACUUAGUUUAAUAGAAAGGCCACCGGUUCAAACCCAACCGGUGGCAUUAAAAAACCGGCCUUUUAUUUCCCUAUGCGGCUUUUCACCUUAUUCAUUCUCUUUCCCUUUCUUUUUUCAUUUUCUUUCUCUCUCCUCAUACGUCUCCCUGUCUCCUCAACCAAACCCUAAGGCUCUUUCUUCUCCUCGCCAUUCCCUUCUUCUCCCUCGAACUCCCUUCUCUCUCCAUUGAAGCCUAGAUCCGUUCUCUCUCAAUUAUUCAUGUUAAAUUGCCUUUGUUCGUCAAUAAUCGGAAAUCUGAGUGCGGACAAUGAUGGAACUUAUGGUGAUUCAGAUGCCCCCAAGGAGAACAACUCGAAAAAGAGGAGAAGAUCUGAAUCAUGUGCACCAUCUAGCUCCAAAGCUUGCUGAUAGAAGGCACGUAGAGACUGACUUAAUGACAAGAUCGUGUACGAAGGUCCGAGGUUCGAGUCAAAUGUGCAAUGCCCCUCGCUCCACAUAAUUGCUACUCAUCUUGCUGCACCUUGCCCUUCCUAUCCUCCACCCCACCAUAUCCUAUCCUACACCACACUUCUCCCCAGCUCCUGCAACCUGCAACAUCCAACAGCCCCUGCUUCGCCAUUCACUAAUUAACCAUUGCUGCUCCCUCUCCUUCACUCAUGCAUCAACCAACACCAACACCACCAAUCAGAAUUCAAAACUCCCCUGCUCCCUCGACCUUUCACACAUGCCUUCACCAACAACAGUAACUCAAUCUUCAGCUACCUAAACCAGCCCACAUCAAUCUCUGUCGUAAGCCAAACAACAGGAGCAUCCCCUACUGCCCUUAAUCAUCUCUCACAUCACCUUACCUCCUUCCACCACAAUCAGCCACAAACACACAUCACCACCGGCACCCACAAACCACAAACCAGCAGCAGCGCCACCUACAACCAAUUCAUAAACCACCAAAACUCACACCAAUUAACCUCCUCCGUCCACCCUUCGCGCACAGCAACACCAGCCACAAAACCAGAGCAGCCCGCGCCAGCUCACCUUCUCACCCUCAAUAUCCAGCCACCGCGCAACCCACAACAACAACCCCUGCACCACCGUCCACCAGAACCCACAUCAAUCAACCAAUUCCCCUGUUCCAAUUCGAACAGUAGCACCUAGCAGCCGCACCACCAUUCCCAAUCACAAGCACCCAACAUCAAUUACAGCAGCAACAAUUACGCCACAACAAAUCACCAAUUUGCACAAGCAACGGCCAUAAUUAGAGCAAUCGCAAAUUAAUCAAGUUCGAACAAACCGUUGAGGGUUCGGUCGAAAUGAAAAAAAAGUACCAAAAUAGUCGGGAACUUUUGAGGUUUUGUAAUUUGAACAGGUGUGGUCGAACUCACCCAUGGUUCGACCGAACCAACCCCGUAGUUCGGCCACACCAACCCAAGGUUCGACCGAACCAAUUCACGAGCUUCGCGCAUGGUUUUUAAUAAAGAUCGAAUGGCCUUGAUUUGAUGAUCGAUUAUAGCCGUUGAGGAUGAACGGUGGUGAUUCUUUGAUGAAGCUUGAUGAUGGAUUUUGAUGGGUGUGAAGUAGGGGAUUAUUCCACCAUUUUUUAGCAGCCAUCUUCGAAUUAGAAGAGGAAAAGAGGGUCUGGUUGUUUGGUGGGAUGGGUGGGUUUUUGUUAUUUUCUUUUCCUUUUAUUUUUAAUUACUUUUUUUCCCUUUUUCUUUUACACUAGUAGAAAAAUGCUUAUUUGCGUCGCCUUAUUUGCGUCACUCAUAUAAACAAACGACGCAAAUGAGAUAUUUUGACUUCAUUAUAACUAAUUUGCGUCAGACAUUUGUUAUAAAGCGAAGCAAAAGUCAGAUAUAUUUCAACUUACUUGUAUUUGCGUCGCUUCUAUAAAUAGGAGUGAUGCAAAUAACAAUAUUAUAUAUAACUUUGUAAGUCAAUUGCGUCAUUUGUUUCUUUAGCGAGUGAAGCAAAUGACCAUUAUGGUUUAUAUGUACUCUAGCUGCCUUCUGCCGUUCGAACAUCAAAACUCCAAACCCCAGAAAAUUCAACCCCAAAAUUCCCUGAAAUUCAACAUCAAAACCCCAAAAAAUUGAUCAGUAAAACCCCAGAAUUCCCCAUUGUUGCUUUUGCUGUUGUUGAACCCCCAAAACAUCAGCGAAUAAACAUUAAUUGAAAAUCCCAGCAAAUGUGAGGCAAAAUCGAAAAUCCCAUAACCUACAAAUUCAACCAUAAUCGAAAAUCCCAGCAAAUGUGAGGCAAAAUCCCUUAUAUACGAGCAAAUCCGAGCCAAAAAUCCCCUAUUUUUGACCAAAAUUCUACCCAAAACCAAACAUAAUUGUGAGAAAAUUGAAGUUUCAGUUUCGAAUUUAGGGUUCAUUUUUUGGUUCUACGAUUGCAAUAGAUGUUACACACAGAUCUAAGCAAAGAGGUUUGAUUUUCAUUCAAUUUAGUAGCAAUUUGUUACGAUUCUCUUAAUGUUAGGGUUCGUACUCAAUAAUAUGGAAUUUUGGAUCUAUUGUUGCUGAAGUUACAAAAUCGAUUUUAUGAAAGGUUGAUUUUCCCCCUGCUACUACUAAGAGAAGCUCUUUCCCAUUUUUUUUAGCCUAAAAAUGUUCCAUGAUAUACUUAGCCGUGAAUACAUAAACUAUGAUAUAGUGUUUGUAUUGAAAUAAUUUUACCAGGCCGUUUUGUUAAAAAUAAACGACCACUCUUAGCCCUGCCUUACACCCCUCAAGAAUAUGAGCAUCCGAGUUUACUUUAACACACCCAAGGCACGGUUUCUUCCAGCUUGUAGCAGCAUCAUUCUGUCUCAUAACAGAGGGGGGCAGCAAAACCUUUUUAGCAUAUUCAUUGUAAUCAUGAACUAGCCUUGCAAACCCUGCAGCCAGUAGCACACUAUUCGGAUUCUCACCUUGAAAUGCAACUGGUGGCAAGGUUUACUAUUCUCAACAAACUCUCCAAUAUAGGGAUCAAAGCUUAUGUUUAUUGAACCUUUCUUUUUAAUGUAAUCAAGUUUCAUGAUCAUAUUUUCAUUCUAUUUCCCUGUAAUGUUUCCACAAAUAAAUUAUAUGCUGACGUUUUCUUAUUGCUUGAUGUAUAAGCAAAGCAUGGUAUCAUAAAUCUUCUCAUAAACCGAUGCACUGACUCAGACAAGAAUACUAAGAAAUUUGCCUGUUUUGCUGUAAGAUUUGUCACUUCAAUAUCCAUGAUCAUGCAUAUUGCACUUGUACAGUUUUUAUUUUGCUGGAAAAUAAACUUCAUUCUAUUUUGAUGUACAAUUAUUUUCUUUAGUUUCACUGAAUUUUCUAAUAUUAUCAUUCUUGUAUAUUCUUGUUUCUCUUUCUCACAUCUCAUCUCGCAGAUAGGAAAUGCAGCCUUCCAUAAUGAUUCAUUAUACGAAGAACUUAGGAGCUCAAUCUCUCAACUGACAAAUCUGCUGUUGCUACCUAAGGAGGAUAUCACAAAAUUAAAUGCUGCAGGUGCACUGGGUAAUCUUGUUCGUCACUCUAACCUCCUCUGUGAAGAUAUUGUGUCUCAUGGUGCAAUUCAGGAAUUGGUGACUUUAAACUAUUUGCAAGAGAAAAAGGAAGUGGACUUCCAUUAUGGACUUGUUCGUGUUAGGGAAAAUGAAGAUUUUGUCCCUAAAUUGAAUUAUGCUGGCUUCAAAUUCCAUAUUAUUUAUUGAAUUAUUUUGUUAUAGUUCUUAGGCUUGAAAUGAACGCAUUUGGUUUACCAACAUUUGGGUUGGUCUGGUGCUUGUGUUAUAUUUAUUAAUGAUGAAGAUGUCAAUAUUGUUUUGUUGUAAACUUAUUUGACAGGUUGCUAAUACAAGGCGCCGUCAUUCCCAAAUUAAUGGGUAGGCUAAAAUACAAAGGAAAUUCUGUCGAAA
This is a long non-coding RNA of Chenopodium quinoa (quinoa), 5247 nucleotides long. RefSeq lists it as uncharacterized. The record is from RefSeq and is a predicted model, not a curated record. Lineage: Eukaryota; Viridiplantae; Streptophyta; Magnoliopsida; Caryophyllales; Amaranthaceae. The transcript is spliced from 6 exons.